Molecule: transfer RNA, 85 nt
Filed under: Methanocella arvoryzae MRE50
Lineage: Archaea; Methanobacteriati; Methanobacteriota; Methanomicrobia; Methanocellales; Methanocellaceae
Description: tRNA-Leu (TAG) (tRNA-Leu-TAG-1-1)
Rfam family: tRNA
About the family: Transfer RNA (tRNA) molecules are approximately 80 nucleotides in length.
Source: Rfam by way of RNAcentral
GCGGGGGUAGCCCAGCCAGGUCAAAGGCGUAGGACUUAGGAUCCUAUCUCGAAGGAGUUCGUGCGUUCGAAUCGCACCCCCCGCA